GCCGGGCGUGGUGGCAUACGCCUUUAAUCCCAGCACUCGGGAGGC
This 45-nucleotide non-coding RNA is filed under the name Trypanosoma congolense IL3000. Lineage: Eukaryota; Euglenozoa; Kinetoplastea; Trypanosomatida; Trypanosomatidae. The record is from RNAcentral.